CUACAUCCUUCAAAAAAUUGGCUUAUUUGUUUCAUCUUUAAGUAGCAAUUUGCUGCCAUUUGUAUUGGGCCGAAGAAAUCACUAUUGUGUAUAUACUCAAGUCUUUUUAUUUUUUCCUCUUUUCAUAAAUGCUCUUGGACAUUAUUGGGCUUGCAGAGUUCCCUUAUUCUGGGAGUUACAGUGCUUUUAUCGUUUCAGGCUUCAUUUUAGCUUCAAAACAAGCUGAGCACACUGAUGUCGACUUGCUAGGUGGGGUUCGCUGGGGACGAUAACCAGUGGAAUUGUUGGUAAGAACUUUUUUUUUUCCUAUUUUUUUUUAAUCAGUAGUGGGGCAUUAAGUAUGGGAGAAUGCCCAUAUUCAUAAGUGGGCAUUUAUGUCAGCAUUGUAGAAAAAUAAGACUUUAGUAUUAGGUAAUUCUGUUCUAAUAGGAACAUAUAAUACGUACUUCAUACUCCUUAUUCUCAACUUUGUAGAUUAUCAGAAAAGGCCUGCCAGAAUGAGGUAAUGAAAUACUCAGGGUAUAUUUUACGUGGCCAAGAUAGACAUCUUGAAGAAACAGUAAAUUUGCUUUAUUUUAUGUUAUUUUAGUCCCCCUAAUCAAUAUCUUUAUAUUUACAUUUUAUUGGAUAGAUUAGCAUAUAAUGCGUCUUAGAUAUUUAUUGCACAUUAAUAUUAAGAAGAAAUAGGGUGGUGUUAAUAGAAUGGAAGGUUUAUACACUAAGAUAAAUUAUUUUUUAAAAUCCUCUGAGGAGUUUCCUUUGUGGCUCAAUAGUUAAUGAGCCCGACUAGGAUCCAUGAGGAUGCGGGUUUGAUCCCUGGCCUUGCUCAGUGGGUUAAGGAUCUGGCAUUGCCGUGAGCUGUGGUAUAGGUCACAGACUCAGCUCGGAUCCCACGUUGCUGUGGCUGUGGCGUGGGCCGACAGCUGCAGCUCUGAUUCGACCCCUAGCCUGGGAACCUCCAUAUGCCCCAGUGUAGCACUAAAAAGCAAAAAAAACCACAAUCCUCUAAAAGAGAUACUAACAUUGUAAAAUGAAACUUAAAAGUUUUAUCAGUUUGACAAACAGUAGUGGGCUCAAUUUAAAGAUACAUUUGAUAUGAUGACUUUGAGUCAAGAGGAAAUUACGUAGCUGAAACAGUAGAACCUUGAACAUAGCAGAAACACAGUUCUGUCAAAAACUUGUGUUUCUUCUAAAACCCAGGAUAGCUGAUGAGGCAGUAGAUUUUGGUAGAAUUAGAGUCAAUAUUUAGAUCAUUUUAAAGAUCAAAAUCUCAUACUUAGGGAAUUCCAUAAUGGUAGCAUAUAAACUGAGGAAAUUAAAUUUAAUAACUAGGCAUUUCUGACUGUAUCACAUAAAAAUAAUUGUAAUAUAACAUAAGCAUUAAUUAGAAGUAAUUAUGAGUUUUCAUGCCUAGAACCUCCCUAGUAUUUUAACGUCCUCUUUGUUGGUUGGGUGUAUCAGUCUAAGAAGAAGCUCCUAGGUUUUAAACAUGUGCUAGUCAGUGUCAUGAAGAUAAACCCUUAUCAUAAACUCGUUGUAGACUAGCUAUACAUCACUACAAUGAAAGUAUAUUUUAAGAAUUGUAGUGGUUUCAUCGUUGUGUUAAAGUACUUGUUUCUCUUCUGACACACUUUAUGCAUGUAUCAGUGAUAGAAAAGAAUGGAGUAUAGAACUAAGUAAGAUUGCACUUACUAGUGUCCUCUUUGGAAAGUCUAUUUAUAGAAAGCAGUAGGAACACUAAAAUGGUGCUGAGAAGUUCUUAAAAGUUAAGGAAAAUGCAGUACAAACUUGCUGGCUUUUAUACACUAACAAUAAAAUACAUUUAACGGGACCA
This 1834-nucleotide long non-coding RNA is filed under the name Sus scrofa (pig). RNAcentral describes it as "lncRNA (ENSSSCG00070027787.1)". Lineage: Eukaryota; Metazoa; Chordata; Mammalia; Artiodactyla; Suidae. The record is from RNAcentral.